This 602-nucleotide ribosomal RNA is filed under the name Fusarium oxysporum. RNAcentral describes it as "partial 18S ribosomal RNA". The stretch from base 280 to 433 matches the Rfam family "5.8S ribosomal RNA". Lineage: Eukaryota; Fungi; Ascomycota; Sordariomycetes; Hypocreales; Nectriaceae. The record is from RNAcentral.
AAGGUUCCUCGGCGGGCCUCCCGUUUUUACCGGAGCGGGCUGAUCCGCCGAGGCAACCAAUUGUUAUGUUCACAGGGGUUUGGGAGUUGUAACCUCGGAUUUCCGUAGGGUAACCUGCGGAGGGAUCAUUACCGAGUUUACAACUCCCAAACCCCUGUGAACAUACCAAUUGUUGCCUCGGCGGAUCAGCCCGCUCCCGGUAAAACGGGACGGCCCGCCAGAGGACCCCUAAACUCUGUUUCUAUAUGUAACUUCUGAGUAAAACCAUAAAUAAAUCAAAACUUUCAACAACGGAUCUCUUGGUUCUGGCAUCGAUGAAGAACGCAGCAAAAUGCGAUAAGUAAUGUGAAUUGCAGAAUUCAGUGAAUCAUCGAAUCUUUGAACGCACAUUGCGCCCGCCAGUAUUCUGGCGGGCAUGCCUGUUCGAGCGUCAUUUCAACCCUCAAGCCCCCGGGUUUGGUGUUGGGGAUCGGCGAGCCCUUGCGGCAAGCCGGCCCCGAAAUCUAGUGGCGGUCUCGCUGCAGCUUCCAUUGCGUAGUAGUAAAACCCUCGCAACUGGUACGAAGACGCGGCCAAGCCGUUAAACCCCCCAAACCUUUUUC